GGCUCAGGAUGAACGCUAGCGGCAGGCUUAACACAUGCAAGUCGAGGGUAUAGUUCUUCGGAAUUAGAGACCGGCGCACGGGUGCGUAACGCGUAUGCAAUCUACCUUUCACAGAGGGAUAGCCCAGAGAAAUUUGGAUUAAUACCUCAUAGUAUAGCAGUUUCGCAUGAAACCACUAUUAAAGUCACAACGGUGAAAGAUGAGCAUGCGUCCCAUUAGCUAGUUGGUAAGGUAACGGCUUACCAAGGCAACGAUGGGUAGGGGUCCUGAGAGGGAGAUCCCCCACACUGGUACUGAGACACGGACCAGACUCCUACGGGAGGCAGCAGUGAGGAAUAUUGGACAAUGGGCGCAAGCCUGAUCCAGCCAUGCCGCGUGCAGGAUGACGGUCCUAUGGAUUGUAAACUGCUUUUAUACAGGAAGAAACACUACUUCAUGAAGUAGCUUGACGGUACUGUAAGAAUAAGGAUCGGCUAACUCCGUG
This 484-nucleotide ribosomal RNA is filed under the name uncultured bacterium. Its description in RNAcentral is "bacterial SSU rRNA". It matches the Rfam family "Bacterial small subunit ribosomal RNA", at positions 21 to 507 of the family's 1533-position model. The record is from RNAcentral.